Molecule: ribosomal RNA, 1992 nt
Filed under: human gut metagenome
Description: bacterial LSU rRNA
Rfam family: Bacterial large subunit ribosomal RNA
Source: RNAcentral
UGAAAGGCCAAUCAAACCGGGAGAUAGCUGGUUCUCCCCGAAAGCUAUUUAGGUAGCGCCUCGUGAAUUCAUCUCCGGGGGUAGAGCACUGUUUCGGCAAGGGGGUCAUCCCGACUUACCAACCCGAUGCAAACUGCGAAUACCGGAGAAUGUUAUCACGGGAGACACACGGCGGGUGCUAACGUCCGUCGUGAAGAGGGAAACAACCCAGACCGCCAGCUAAGGUCCCAAAGUCAUGGUUAAGUGGGAAACGAUGUGGGAAGGCCCAGACAGCCAGGAUGUUGGCUUAGAAGCAGCCAUCAUUUAAAGAAAGCGUAAUAGCUCACUGGUCGAGUCGGCCUGCGCGGAAGAUGUAACGGGGCUAAACCAUGCACCGAAGCUGCGGCAGCGACGCUUAUGCGUUGUUGGGUAGGGGAGCGUUCUGUAAGCCUGGGAAGGUGUACUGUGAGGUAUGCUGGAGGUAUCAGAAGUGCGAAUGCUGACAUAAGUAACGAUAAAGCGGGUGAAAAGCCCGCUCGCCGGAAGACCAAGGGUUCCUGUCCAACGUUAAUCGGGGCAGGGUGAGUCGACCCCUAAGGCGAGGCCGAAAGGCGUAGUCGAUGGGAAACAGGUUAAUAUUCCUGUACUUGGUGUUACUGCGAAGGGGGGACGGAGAAGGCUAUGUUGGCCGGGCGACGGUUGUCCCGGUUUAAGCGUGUAGGCUGGUUUUCCAGGCAAAUCCGGAAAAUCAAGGCUGAGGCGUGAUGACGAGGCACUACGGUGCUGAAGCAACAAAUGCCCUGCUUCCAGGAAAAGCCUCUAAGCAUCAGGUAACAUCAAAUCGUACCCCAAACCGACACAGGUGGUCAGGUAGAGAAUACCAAGGCGCUUGAGAGAACUCGGGUGAAGGAACUAGGCAAAAUGGUGCCGUAACUUCGGGAGAAGGCACGCUGAUAUGUAGGUGAAGCGACUUGCUCGUGGAGCUGAAAUCAGUCGAAGAUACCAGCUGGCUGCAACUGUUUAUUAAAAACACAGCACUGUGCAAACACGAAAGUGGACGUAUACGGUGUGACGCCUGCCCGGUGCCGGAAGGUUAAUUGAUGGGGUUAGCGCAAGCGAAGCUCUUGAUCGAAGCCCCGGUAAACGGCGGCCGUAACUAUAACGGUCCUAAGGUAGCGAAAUUCCUUGUCGGGUAAGUUCCGACCUGCACGAAUGGCGUAAUGAUGGCCAGGCUGUCUCCACCCGAGACUCAGUGAAAUUGAACUCGCUGUGAAGAUGCAGUGUACCCGCGGCAAGACGGAAAGACCCCGUGAACCUUUACUAUAGCUUGACACUGAACAUUGAGCCUUGAUGUGUAGGAUAGGUGGGAGGCUUUGAAGUGUGGACGCCAGUCUGCAUGGAGCCGACCUUGAAAUACCACCCUUUAAUGUUUGAUGUUCUAACGUUGACCCGUAAUCCGGGUUGCGGACAGUGUCUGGUGGGUAGUUUGACUGGGGCGGUCUCCUCCUAAAGAGUAACGGAGGAGCACGAAGGUUGGCUAAUCCUGGUCGGACAUCAGGAGGUUAGUGCAAUGGCAUAAGCCAGCUUGACUGCGAGCGUGACGGCGCGAGCAGGUGCGAAAGCAGGUCAUAGUGAUCCGGUGGUUCUGAAUGGAAGGGCCAUCGCUCAACGGAUAAAAGGUACUCCGGGGAUAACAGGCUGAUACCGCCCAAGAGUUCAUAUCGACGGCGGUGUUUGGCACCUCGAUGUCGGCUCAUCACAUCCUGGGGCUGAAGUAGGUCCCAAGGGUAUGGCUGUUCGCCAUUUAAAGUGGUACGCGAGCUGGGUUUAGAACGUCGUGAGACAGUUCGGUCCCUAUCUGCCGUGGGCGCUGGAGAACUGAGGGGGGCUGCUCCUAGUACGAGAGGACCGGAGUGGACGCAUCACUGGUGUUCGGGUUGUCAUGCCAAUGGCACUGCCCGGUAGCUAAAUGCGGAAGAGAUAAGUGCUGAAAGCAUCUAAGCACGAAACUUG